UCUAAUUAAUCCAUGACAAAAAUGCUGAAUCCCCACAUAUUGCAGUUAAAAAAACUGAAUUUUUGGCACGGUCUUCCAAACUCGUAUCUCCCCUGGGUUAUUUGCGGACUGCCUUUAAAACGUCGUUAAGAAACCCUGUCUGAUCAUGACCAACUUAAAGAUACGUUUUUUCCAACUUUUUUAUUAAAUAUCUCAAAGAAUGAAUGUGAUACUUCUCAAUAGAUCUAAUUUCGAUUAGAAAAAAAUUUCUCAGGAAUUUCUUUCAUAUCUGAUUUAAUAAUAAAUAAUAAAUUGUACAAAUUAAUUCUGUAUUAUAUUUAAAAAAAAAAUUGUUCACAGAUAAUAUCUAAAACAAUUCUCCACGAAUCUACACAAAAUAUCCAAGAACGCUAAGAAAUAGUUCAGAAAACGGUAAUUCAAAGAAAUUAACAAAUUGAUUGACAAGAAAAGAAUAAUGAGAAUAAUCUUAAAAAGAAUAAUGUAAUAUAUCAUAAUAAUGUAUAACCUAUAACCUAUAAUAUAAUUUUCUCAAAAGUAAUUUCUGCCAUUAACAAAUCGUGAGAAUAAUUUCACGGAAGGUCACAGUAUCGAUAAAUCCCAAGAAUAAUUAGAAUGAAUGGAAUAGUGCCGAUAAAUCGCGAGAAUAAUUCAACGAGAACGAUUCAAAGCGGGUGUUCUGUGGUCAGGUCAGCCUGUGUAGAAUGAUUUGAACGGUAAAUAUAUCCGCGAGCCGGACGUGCAGAUGCCUAAUCUGAGCCCAUGCUCUCGGAAGGGAGGAGGCCGCUUCAUCAAAUGAAGAAACGCGACUCUGCAUUCUGCAGAGGCCGUUUACCGGCACCAGUUUUUGGCCUCGAGCUUAGACAAAUCUUACGACUAGUUUAACCGAGCCAUUCGCUUCCUAUUCUACAAAAUAAUGAAUUUACCCAGUAAGUAAACGCUAUUAUCCCAAACACAUUGAAAAAUUUAACGUCCAAUUUCAAAGAACCAUAUAUAAAACCGAGUUAAAGAAACGAAAGACCAAAUAUUCUUCAGAAGACUUAAGAAGACCGAGAAAUCGAGGAAAGUUGAAUGAAAAGAAGUAUCUAAAAAGCGUGGUGUUCGAACAAUGACGGUGAAAAGUGGCUGUUUUUUCAACUUGCACGAUGGACAAUGAGGAUAUAUCUCUUGCGAUAGAAAUAGUUAUUAGACGAGGGCUGGCAAGUGAUUCUGAUUGUUAGAUACCAAGAUUCCCUUCUCUUCUCUCUCUCUCUCUAUUCAUGCAUUAUGCAAAGUAUCUUCCGCUCUCCGUAUUAUCCACGGUUUAUUCCCAUCGUUGUUGAUCGUGGUCGGAGAAAGCGUACGAAAUCGCUUCGUUCGUAAAAUAAUCGUGUGCUAUCUUGCCGAGUUUUUACAGUUAAACGAGAUGCAUUGAAAUAUGCCUCGUUAAUCUAGAUGGGAUCCUACGGUUCUUUUUGAAUAAAGAGCACAGUUGACCUUGAAUUAUGGGUGGAAAUGCCAAGAGAACAUAUCGCUGGUGAAUGAUUGUAUAAAGUUUAUGACUCGUAAGAUCGUUUUUUUCUGAAUACAAAAAUGGAAACGUAAUGGAGGUAACAAAAUUUUGUUGGAGAUGCUCUAAGAAUCUAAGUUCCAUAUCUACAGUUCCAUAAACUCUUUAUCAAGAAUCCCUGCAGCUACAGCUAAUGAGAUGCUCCUCGAAAGAGACAGCUUGAUCGAGGGUCACCGUGUCAACGCGAUUCCUGACGCGUGCACGCACUCGAGAACACGGCCUACGCGUGCAAUUCACAAACGCUCUUUUCGUCCCACGUUUUCUCGUCGUCUCUCCCAAUAGCUGCACUUUCCAUAAAUUAAUUAUUUUAAUAGGCUGUGUUCGAGGACGCGAGAUAUCCGAUGUCUCCACACGUGCACAACAGAAAUAUAAAUGGAUUAGCUAUAAUACUUUUA
Long non-coding RNA from Apis laboriosa (Himalayan honeybee), 1941 nucleotides. RefSeq lists it as uncharacterized. The record is from RefSeq and is a predicted model, not a curated record. The transcript has 3 exons. NCBI's taxonomy places the organism in Eukaryota, Metazoa, Arthropoda, Insecta, Hymenoptera, Apidae.